This 1890-nucleotide ribosomal RNA is filed under the name Triticum aestivum (bread wheat). RNAcentral's name for it is "partial small subunit ribosomal RNA". The record is from RNAcentral. Lineage: Eukaryota; Viridiplantae; Streptophyta; Magnoliopsida; Poales; Poaceae.
AUGCCCAGUUCACUACAGUGCACCGGCUCUACACAGUUCCUUGGUUCGCUAAAUCGGAUUAGGGUUUCCUGUGCCACCGUCGCCGCUGCCAAUUUAGGCCCCCUCGCCUCCGGCUGCCAUCUUGGCGCUGAGAGGUGGGGGGACAUCGGAUCUUCAAGACCUCUAUGUUCUUCAUCAACGUCUAGUGAUCAUCAUAGUUUUCCUUUUGUGUACCUACGCGUGCGCGCCGAUCAAGUCGGCGUAAUCAGCUACAUCUACGAGCCAACAGAGCACUCCCGGCCGUGUGUUCCUUCCCCAAGCUACAUCUUUUGCCUUGCCUUGGCGGCGUACGUCGACAUGAAACGCCAACAACACGGCGAGGUGGACGACGGAAUAUGCCGCCGCCGUAGCCCACGUCUCCAUCCCCAAAUCCAUGCCAGUGACGUGGGCGCCGCAGUGGCCCGCCGACGCAGCACGCGUCUCCAUCCCCAGAUCCACACGAGCGACGAGGGAGCCCGACUCAUGGACCGCCGCCGCCGCCGCCAUGGCAGCUUGCUGGACAACGACCAUGAUAUGCUCUGGGAGAUCCUACUCCGUCUCCCGCCGCAGCCGUCCUCCCUGCUGCGUGAAUGCGCGGUCUGCAAGCGUUGGCGACGGUUGCCACUGAACCCAAGUUCCUCCGUUGCUUCUGUGCCCACCACCGGAAGGCGCCCCUCCUCGGCUUGCUCGUGUGUCGCAACAGCCACAAGAACGUGUUCCACCCCGUACUUGAAUCCUCCCGACCGCAUCCCUCGGAAGCGCUUCACCCUUGGAUGCUACAGUAAAGUACGUUAUAGUGUGCUCAGUUGCCGCCAUGGUCGCAUCCUCGUCAAAGACUCAAAGAAUAAGGAGGCCGUUCUGUGCGACCCCAUCACAGGCGAGCAGCACCGCAUGCCCGUUCCGCCGGGAUUCGACAUGACCUAUCUCAGCGGGGCGGUGCUCUGCACCGCCGGCGAUCAGGGACAUGUGCACGGCAGCUGCCAUGCCAGCCCCUUCAAAGUGGUCCUGUUGUCCAUGUUCAUACACGAUGAUCGACGACCUCUGGCCCGUGUUUUCUCCUCACAGACCGGCAGGUGGGGCAAUCUCAUCUCAAUAGAGACUCAACCUAAGACAAUGUAUGGUCCUUGUUGCCCCGACACCCUUGUUGGCAAUGUCAUUUACUGGUUGUCUAGGUAUGGGAGAGACGAUGUAGUUGAGUUUGAUUUGGAGGGGCAGAAGCUUACCCUGAUCAAGGGGCCUCACAUCAGCUCUUUUAACUCCAUCACCUACAAAAAAUUAUGUCAAAAGGGUGAAGGAUUUACAUACACGCAGGUGAAGGGUGCUGCAAUUUUUAGUUGUUACCAAGUUUCUCGCAUCACAUCAAAUGUGGUCGGCGGUGUUUAUAUGUUAUCUUCAAAAAUUCUUAUCUUCAUCGAGGAGAGUAUCUGCCCCAGUUACCUUAGUGGUUCAUAUGAGCUAGAGGACUCUUCAUUCUUAAAGCAGUUGUUUGUUGCUGAAGGCACGAGAUUGGACAACAACGAGUCUAUAAUUGCACUCGCAAGAAUACAUACAACAUUCUUAGAUUGUAAAUAUCUGUUGGAAUUGCAAGUCAUUUUAAGUGAGGGAGCAGAAAAUGCUCACUUCGAUAUGGACGCCCCCUCGCUCGCGCGUAGCCCCGCUUCUCAACACAUCAUCCUAUUCAUGCUGCCCAUCCACCACCAUGCACAGCCGCCAUCUUCCGUCUGCUUUGGAAGACCGGAGGCUACCAGUAGAACGUUUUCAAGGGUGUUGGGACACGAGCCAGGCGUGAUUCCAUUGCUUCCUACCCGAGGUCGCGGAGGAGCAAGACGAACCAGACUGGGCACACCCCGUUCCUUUGCUCCAAGCCUCUAG